This 618-nucleotide ribosomal RNA is filed under the name Cortinarius aff. inamoenus UBC F17145 OC73. RNAcentral's name for it is "eukaryotic LSU rRNA". It matches the Rfam family "Eukaryotic large subunit ribosomal RNA", at positions 1 to 622 of the family's 3401-position model. The record is from RNAcentral. Lineage: Eukaryota; Fungi; Basidiomycota; Agaricomycetes; Agaricales; Cortinariaceae.
UGUGACCUCAAAUCAGGUAGGACUACCCGCUGAACUUAAGCAUAUCAAUAAGCGGAGGAAAAGAAACUAACAAGGAUUCCCCUAGUAACUGCGAGUGAAGCGGGAAAAGCUCAAAUUUAAAAUCUGUCAGUCUUUGGCUGUCCGAGUUGUAAUCUAGAGAAGUGUUAUCCGCGCUGGACCGUGUACAAGUCUCCUGGAAUGGAGCGUCAUAGAGGGUGAGAAUCCCGUCUUUGACACGGACUGCCAGGGCUUUGUGAUGCGCUCUCAAAGAGUCGAGUUGUUUGGGAAUGCAGCUCAAAAUGGGUGGUAAAUUCCAUCUAAAGCUAAAUAUUGGCGAGAGACCGAUAGCGAACAAGUACCGUGAGGGAAAGAUGAAAAGAACUUUGGAAAGAGAGUUAAACAGUACGUGAAAUUGCUGAAAGGGAAACGCUUGAAGUCAGUCGCGUUGUCCAGGGAUCAACCUUGCUUUUGCUUGGUGUACUUUCUGGUUGACGGGUCAGCAUCAAUUUUGACUGUUGGAAAAAGGUCAGGGGAAUGUGGCAUCUCUAAUGAUGUGUUAUAGCCCUUGGUUGCAUACAAUGGUUGGGAUUGAGGAACUCAGCACGCCGCAAGGCCGGG